UCUUCCCUCUGGCGGCGUGCCUAAUACAUGCAAGUCGAGCGAACAGACGAGGAGCUUGCUCCUUUGACGUUAGCGGCGGACGGGUGAGUAACACGUGGGUAACCUACCUAUAAGACUGGGAUAACUUCGGGAAACCGGAGCUAAUACCGGAUAAUAUUUCGAACCGCAUGGUUCGAUAGUGAAAGAUGGCUCUGCUAUCACUUAUAGAUGGACCUGCGCCGUAUUAGCUAGUUGGUAAGGUAACGGCUUACCAAGGCAACGAUACGUAGCCGACCUGAGAGGGUGAUCGGCCACACUGGAACUGAGACACGGUCCAGACUCCUACGGGAGGCAGCAGUAGGGAAUCUUCCGCAAUGGGCGAAAGCCUGACGGAGCAACGCCGCGUGAGUGAUGAAGGUCUUCGGAUCGUAAAACUCUGUUAUUAGGGAAGAACAAACGUGUAAGUAACUGUGCACGUCUUGACGGUACCUAAUCAGAAAGCCACGGCUAACUACGUG
This 497-nucleotide ribosomal RNA is filed under the name uncultured bacterium. RNAcentral's name for it is "partial 16S ribosomal RNA". It matches the Rfam family "Bacterial small subunit ribosomal RNA", at positions 36 to 507 of the family's 1533-position model. The record is from RNAcentral.